CCUACGGGGGGCAGCAGUGGGGAAUAUUGCACAAUGGGGGAAACCCUGAUGCAGCGACGCCGCGUGAGCGAAGAAGUAUUUCGGUAUGUAAAGCUCUAUCAGCAGGGAAGAAAAUGACGGUACCUGACUAAGAAGCUCCGGCUAAAUACGUGCCAGCAGCCGCGGUAAUACGUAUGGAGCAAGCGUUAUCCGGAUUUACUGGGUGUAAAGGGAGCGCAGGCGGCUUUGCAAGUCUGAUGUGAAAGGCCGGGGCUCAACCCCGGGACUGCAUUGGAAACUGUAAAGCUAGAGUGCCGGAGAGGUAAGCGGAAUUCCUAGUGUAGCGGUGAAAUGCGUAGAUAUUAGGAGGAACACCAGUGGCGAAGGCGGCUUACUGGACGGCAACUGACGCUGAGGCUCGAAAGCGUGGGGAGCAAACAGGAUUAGAUACCC
Molecule: ribosomal RNA, 432 nt
Filed under: uncultured bacterium
Lineage: Bacteria
Description: bacterial SSU rRNA
Rfam family: Bacterial small subunit ribosomal RNA
Source: RNAcentral